AAGCACCUGCUAUGUUUGUGAACUACCCGUAAAGUUUUGAGCUAACACUUUGUAGAGGGGAGCCCGGCUCUAGUUGUGGCGCAUAAGCCUCCUUGGGGUGGACAUGUAAAGCAACUAGGAGGGCACCCACUUGUGGGGAGAGCAGUUCAAAACUGACGGUUCCACGGCAUAGUGGGGCUUU
Molecule: non-coding RNA, 181 nt
Filed under: Bacillota bacterium
Lineage: Bacteria; Bacillati; Bacillota
Also listed under: 1 other name
Description: 6S RNA
Rfam family: 6S / SsrS RNA
About the family: E. coli 6S RNA was the first non coding RNA to be sequenced, but its function was unknown until recently.
Source: RNAcentral